GAUGAAGAACGUAGCGAAAUGCGAUAAGUAAUGUGAAUUGCAGAAUUCAGUGAAUCAUCGAAUCUUUGAACGCACCUUGCGCCUUUUGGUAUUCCGAAAGGCACACCUGUUUGAGCGUCAUGAAUACCUCAAUCUCCAUCUUUUCUUCGGAUUGAUGGGUGACUUGGAUGUUGAGCCCUGCUGGUAUGCUAUAUCAGCUGGCUUUAAACUAUUAGCCGGCUCUGUACUGGAUCGGUUUGACUCGACGUGAUAAUAUUAUCGUUGAGGAUGCAUGUCUCAUGCAGCCGGAAAGUAUCAAAGCAGCUUCUAGCUUGCCUUUAGUGCACUUUUACAUUUUAGACCUCAGAUCAGGUGGGACUACCCGCUGAACUUAAGCAUAUCAAUAAGCGGAGGA
Molecule: unclassified non-coding RNA, 394 nt
Filed under: soil metagenome
Description: partial contains 5.8S ribosomal RNA, internal transcribed spacer 2, and large subunit ribosomal RNA
Rfam family: 5.8S ribosomal RNA (bases 1-120)
Source: RNAcentral